This 79-nucleotide transfer RNA is filed under the name Trichonephila clavata. RNAcentral describes it as "tRNA-Ser". It matches the Rfam family "tRNA". From Rfam's summary of the family: Transfer RNA (tRNA) molecules are approximately 80 nucleotides in length. Lineage: Eukaryota; Metazoa; Arthropoda; Arachnida; Araneae; Nephilidae. The record is from RNAcentral.
GUCGUGUCCGAGUGGUUAAGGCGAUGGACUCGAAAUCCAUUGGGGUCUCCCCGCGCAGGUACGAAUCUUUUCGGCAGCG